AAUAAAUACCACACUCGGUCUCAUUACAUACGAAUUAUACGAAACUCGUGACCUUCCGAUGGUUUCUGACAUCCCCUUCGCUCUGUCAGAUAUAAUAAGAAAGACACUCGUUUCGUAUAAUUCGUAUGUAAUGAGACCUCUUGUAGUAUUCUCUAUAAACUCACCGCCGCCAUAUAGCUGGAAUAUUGCUG
Haliotis rubra (blacklip abalone) is the source of this 191-nucleotide long non-coding RNA. RefSeq lists it as uncharacterized. Lineage: Eukaryota; Metazoa; Mollusca; Gastropoda; Lepetellida; Haliotidae. The record is from RefSeq and is a predicted model, not a curated record. The transcript is spliced from 3 exons.